Molecule: ribosomal RNA, 393 nt
Filed under: bacterium enrichment culture clone Pav-FEB-Bd10-C1
Lineage: Bacteria
Description: bacterial SSU rRNA
Rfam family: Bacterial small subunit ribosomal RNA
Source: RNAcentral
GAACGUACCCUCAGGACGGGGAUAGCUACGGGAAACUGUAGGUAAUACCCGAUAACCUCCGCGGAGCGAAGGUGUGAUUCCGCCUGGGGAGCGGCUUACGCGAUAUUAGCUAGUUGGUGGGGUAAUGGCCUACCAAGGCGAUGAUGUCUAGGGGGUGUGAGAGCAUGGCCCCCACGACCGGAACUGAGAUACUGUCCGGACACCUACGGGUGGCUGCAGUCGAGAAUCUUCCGCAAUGGACGAAAGUCUGACGGAGCGACGCCGCGUGCGGGAUGAAGGCCCUUGGGUUGUAAACCGCUGUCAGAGGGGAUGAAAUCUUCGGAGGUACUCCUCCGAAGUUGACAGAGCCUCAAAGGAAGCACGGGCUAAGUACGUGCCAGCAGCCGCGGUAAU